This 604-nucleotide ribosomal RNA is filed under the name Adelie penguin guano bacterium 84. Its description in RNAcentral is "bacterial SSU rRNA". It matches the Rfam family "Bacterial small subunit ribosomal RNA", at positions 93 to 690 of the family's 1533-position model. The record is from RNAcentral.
GAGCGGCGGACGGGUGAGUAAUACUUAGGAAUCUACCUAGUAGUGGGGGAUAGCUCGGGGAAACUCGAAUUAAUACCGCAUACGACCUACGGGAGAAAGGGGGCAACUUGUUGCUCUCGCUAUUAGAUGAGCCUAAGUCGGAUUAGCUAGAUGGUGGGGUAAAGGCCUACCAUGGCGACGAUCUGUAGCUGGUCUGAGAGGAUGAUCAGCCACACCGGGACUGAGACACGGCCCGGACUCCUACGGGAGGCAGCAGUGGGGAAUAUUGGACAAUGGGGGAAACCCUGAUCCAGCCAUGCCGCGUGUGUGAAGAAGGCCUUUUGGUUGUAAAGCACUUUAAGCAGUGAAGAAGACUCCAUGGUUAAUACCCAUGGACGAUGACAUUAGCUGCAGAAUAAGCACCGGCUAACUCUGUGCCAGCAGCCGCGGUAAUACAGAGGGUGCAAGCGUUAAUCGGAAUUACUGGGCGUAAAGGGAGCGUAAGUGGCUUUGAUAAGUCAGAUGUGAAAUCCCCGGGCUUAACCUGGGGAACUGCAUCUUGAUACUUGUUAAGCUAGAAUAAGUUAGAAGGGAGGUAGAAUUUCCAGGUUGUUAGCCGGUUGAA